Molecule: ribosomal RNA, 450 nt
Filed under: uncultured bacterium
Lineage: Bacteria
Description: partial 16S ribosomal RNA
Rfam family: Bacterial small subunit ribosomal RNA
Source: RNAcentral
GUGGGGAAUUUUGGACAAUGGGCGCAAGCCUGAUCCAGCAAUGCCGCGUGCAGGAAGAAGGCCUUCGGGUUGUAAACUGCUUUUGUACGGAACGAAACGGUCCGGGUUAAUACCCUGGGCUAAUGACGGUACCGUAAGAAUAAGCACCGGCUAACUACGUGCCAGCAGCCGCGGUAAUACGUAGGGUGCAAGCGUUAAUCGGAAUUACUGGGCGUAAAGCGUGCGCAGGCGGUUUUGUAAGACAGGCGUGAAAUCCCCGGGCUCAACCUGGGAAUUGCGCUUGUGACUGCAAGGCUGGAGUGCGGCAGAGGGGGAUGGAAUUCCGCGUGUAGCAGUGAAAUGCGUAGAUAUGCGGAGGAACACCGAUGGCGAAGGCAAUCCCCUGGGCCUGCACUGACGCUCAUGCACGAAAGCGUGGGGAGCAAACAGGAUUAGAAACCCUGGUAGUAC